UCGAACGCUUCUUUUUCCACCGGAGCUUGCUCCACCGGAAAAAGAGGAGUGGCGAACGGGUGAGUAACACGUGGGUAACCUGCCCAUCAGAAGGGGAUAACACUUGGAAACAGGUGCUAAUACCGUAUAACAAUCGAAACCGCAUGGUUUUGAUUUGAAAGGCGCUUUCGGGUGUCGCUGAUGGAUGGACCCGCGGUGCAUUAGCUAGUUGGUGAGGUAACGGCUCACCAAGGCGACGAUGCAUAGCCGACCUGAGAGGGUGAUCGGCCACAUUGGGACUGAGACACGGCCCAAACUCCUACGGGAGGCAGCAGUAGGGAAUCUUCGGCAAUGGACGAAAGUCUGACCGAGCAACGCCGCGUGAGUGAAGAAGGUUUUCGGAUCGUAAAACUCUGUUGUUAGAGAAGAACAAGGAUGAGAGUAACUGUUCAUCCCUUGACGGUAUCUAACCAGAAAGCCACGGCUAACUACGUGCCAGCAGCCGCGGUAAUACGUAGGUGGCAAGCGUUGUCCGGAUUUAUUGGGCGUAAAGCGAGCGCAGGCGGUUUCUUAAGUCUGAUGUGAAAGCCCCCGGCUCAACCGGGGAGGGUCAUUGGAAACUGGGAGACUUGAGUGCAGAAGAGGAGAGUGGAAUUCCAUGUGUAGCGGUGAAAUGCGUAGAUAUAUGGAGGAACACCAGUGGCGAAGGCGGCUCUCUGGUCUGUAACUGACGCUGAGGCUCGAAAGCGUGGGGAGCAAACAGGAUUAGAUACCCUGGUAGUCCACGCCGUAAACGAUGAGUGCUAAGUGUUGGAGGGUUUCCGCCCUUCAGUGCUGCAGCUAACGCAUUAAGCACUCCGCCUGGGGAGUACGACCGCAAGGUUGAAACUCAAAGGAAUUGACGGGGGCCCGCACAAGCGGUGGAGCAUGUGGUUUAAUUCGAAGCAACGCGAAGAACCUUACCAGGUCUUGACAUCCUUUGACCACUCUAGAGAUAGAGCUUCCCCUUCGGGGGCAAAGUGAC
Molecule: ribosomal RNA, 1003 nt
Filed under: Enterococcus hirae
Lineage: Bacteria; Bacillati; Bacillota; Bacilli; Lactobacillales; Enterococcaceae
Description: bacterial SSU rRNA
Rfam family: Bacterial small subunit ribosomal RNA
Source: RNAcentral